AAGUCCCUCUAAACACAGAGACACACCAAUGGCAAAGGCAAAAGUCUCAGUAUUAUUUCCUUGUAUGAUGGUUUUAUUUCUCGUAAUAUUUGCCGCAGGUACGGUGAAUGGUUGUAACUACCCGUGCCAUGGCCCACAUGAUGGUUGUCCUAAUCUGCACUGUCCUGGUUGUGUAAAGAAGUGCGUCAACUCUUGCUGCCUGUGUGACUGCAGUGGAAAUCAAAAACCAGAAAUAAAGAUGUAACAAUUUCAUGUCUUUGUUAGUGAGAUUUAUUGGUAAUAAAUAAGAGAAGUUUAAUUCUCCUUCAUCCA
This is a long non-coding RNA of Vigna unguiculata (cowpea), 312 nucleotides long. RefSeq lists it as uncharacterized. NCBI's taxonomy places the organism in Eukaryota, Viridiplantae, Streptophyta, Magnoliopsida, Fabales, Fabaceae. The record is from RefSeq and is a predicted model, not a curated record.